AUAAUUACUUUUAUUGAAGAAUCAUUUUUGUUGUUGUAUUGUUUUGAUUUAAUUGUUUAUACUAUAGUUUAUUUGUACUGUGAGGGUUUGUUUAUGGGUUUAAUAUUUUUUUAAAAGCUGAUUUUGUUUGUUGUAGCUUGUGUAUCAGGGUUCAUUGAAUUUUAUUAUUUAUUUUUAUUUCCCGAUUUUAAAGGAGUUAAUGGUUUAUUUUAGUUACUGUUUCAUUAGUAUUAAUAAUAUUCUAUUGGUAGUGAAAUGUUAUUCGUCUUUAGUGGUUUCUGGUUUUUCAAGAAAUGAAUUUAAUUCAUGCCCUUCAUUUAAUUUUUAUUUUACUAUGUUUACUAUGUUUACUAUGUUAGGAUUAGCUCCUUGUUUUAUUAUUAUAAUUUUAUAUUUUAUUUAGUUUUGUAAAUUUUAUAAUGAUUUUCAAUUUGAUUAUGUUAAAAUUUCAUUUAUUCUUUUGUUUAUUUUCUUUAAUUUAAUUUGUUUAUUGGAAUGUUUGUUUUAUUUUUUAUUGUAUAGUAAUUAUUAUGUAAUUAGUAAAUUUUUCUUUUAUGUUUAUUUUUAUGAUGGUAAGUUCUUUUGAGGAAUUAGGCAAAAUUUUAUGUCCGCCUGUUUAACAAAAACAUCUUUUCUCGGUAGUUUUUGAAGUAUGGCCUGCCCGCUGACGUUGUUUGAAGGGCCGCGGUAUUUUGACCGUGCAAAGGUAGCAUAAUCAUUAGUUCUUUAAUUGUGAUCUGGUAUGAAUGGCUUGACGAGACAUAUACUGUCUUAGUGUUUUGAAUUGUUUGUUGAAUUUGGUUUUUGGGUUAAAAUUCUUAGAUGUUUUUAUGGGACGAGAAGACCCUAUAGAGUUUGACAUUUAUUUUAUUCUUUGUUGUUUUGUUUGUUUUAAGUAUUGUGAUUAAUUUAAGUGUUUUGUUGGGGUGAUGAGAGGAAUUGAGUAACUCCUCUUUGUUGAUUUAUAUUUAUUUAUAUUUUUUUGAUCCAUUUGUUUUGAUUAUAAGAUUAAAUUACCUUAGGGAUAACAGCGUUAUCUUUCCUGAGAGUUCUUAUUGGCGGGAAGGUUUGCGACCUCGAUGUUGGAUUAAGGUUAAUUUCUGGUGUAGGAGCUGGAAUAAUUAGGUCUGUUCGACCUUUAAAAUCUUACAUGAUCUGAGUUCAGACCGGCGUGAGCCAGGUUGGUUUCUAUCUAUAAUAGGUUUAUAUAUCUUAGUACGAGAGGACCGGAUAUUUGAAAUAAUUUUAUUUAUGUGAUUUUUAUUAAUAUAAAGCUAUUUUGGCAGAUAAGUGCAU
RNAcentral lists this ribosomal RNA (1296 nucleotides) under Hoplognathotermes subterraneus. RNAcentral describes it as "16S ribosomal RNA". The stretch from base 829 to 1198 matches the Rfam family "Bacterial large subunit ribosomal RNA", at positions 2073 to 2647 of the family's 2925-position model. The record is from RNAcentral. Lineage: Eukaryota; Metazoa; Arthropoda; Insecta; Blattodea; Termitidae.